GAUGAACGCUGGCGGCGUGCCUAAUACAUGCAAGUCGAGCGAACGGACGAGAAGCUUGCUUUUCUGAUGUUAGCGGCGGACGGGUGAGUAACACGUGGAUAACCUACCUAUAAGACUGGGAUAACUUCGGGAAACCGGAGCUAAUACCGGAUAAUAUUUUGAACCGCAUGGUUCAAAAGUGAAAGACGGUCUUGCUGUCACUUAUAGAUGGAUCCGCGCUGCAUUAGCUAGUUGGUAAGGUAACGGCUUACCAAGGCAACGAUGCAUAGCCGACCUGAGAGGGUGAUCGGCCACACUGGAACUGAGACACGGUCCAGACUCCUACGGGAGGCAGCAGUAGGGAAUCUUCCGCAAUGGGCGAAAGCCUGACGGAGCAACGCCGCGUGAGUGAUGAAGGUCUUCGGAUCGUAAAACUCUGUUAUUAGGGAAGAACAUAUGUGUAAGUAACUGUGCACAUCUUGACGGUACCUAAUCAGAAAACCACGGCUAACUACGUG
RNAcentral lists this ribosomal RNA (497 nucleotides) under uncultured bacterium. RNAcentral's name for it is "partial 16S ribosomal RNA". It matches the Rfam family "Bacterial small subunit ribosomal RNA", at positions 28 to 507 of the family's 1533-position model. The record is from RNAcentral.